GCCUCCUGAGUAUGAUAAAGUACAGUUGCCUUCCAAGCAGAAAGAUUAAAAAAUUUUAAAGGAGGUAAUAUUAAGGU
Molecule: transfer RNA, 77 nt
Filed under: Laevistrombus canarium
Lineage: Eukaryota; Metazoa; Mollusca; Gastropoda; Littorinimorpha; Strombidae
Description: tRNA-Gly
Source: RNAcentral